GAUGAACGCUGGCUACAGGCUUAACACAUGCCAGUCGAGGGGAAACGACGGGGAAGCUUGCUUCCCCGGGCGUCGACCGGCGCACGGGUGAGUAACGCGUAUCCAACCUGCCUCUGACUGAGGGAUAACCCGUCGAAAGUCGGCCUAAUACCUCAUGGCAUCGUCUGCGGGCAUCCAACGACGAUUAAAGAUUUCAUCGGUCAGGGAUGGGGAUGCGUCUGAUUAGCUUGUUGGCGGGGUAACGGCCCACCAAGGCUACGAUCAGUAGGGGUUCUGAGAGGAAGGUACCCCACAUUGGAACUGAGACACGGUCCAAACUCCUACGGGAGGCAGCAGUGAGGAAUAUUGGGCAAUGGGCGGGAGCCUGAACCAGCCAAGUAGCGUGCAGGAUGACGGCCCUAUGGGUUGUAAACUGCUUUUAUGCGGGGAUAAAGUGAGGGACGUGUCCUUCAUUGCAGGUACCGCAUGAAUAAGGACCGGCUAAUUCCGUG
This 491-nucleotide ribosomal RNA is filed under the name uncultured bacterium. RNAcentral's name for it is "partial 16S ribosomal RNA". It matches the Rfam family "Bacterial small subunit ribosomal RNA", at positions 28 to 507 of the family's 1533-position model. The record is from RNAcentral.